Molecule: long non-coding RNA, 761 nt
Organism: Lepus europaeus (European hare)
Lineage: Eukaryota; Metazoa; Chordata; Mammalia; Lagomorpha; Leporidae
Exons: 3
Source: RefSeq, a predicted model, not a curated record
CAGGUGUUGCAAACAGGAACUCUCCAUGUAUUCAAACUUGGGGAGCGGAUUACCGUGGAGUGGAACUUCCAGCCCACAGGGCACCUGCCCGCCGGGAGACUGAGGCACUGCUUGUCCUCAGCGGGUGUCCAAGCCUGUGGAGGCCCAGGAAGACCUCACACGCUGGGACUUGGCAGGCAGACGACAGCCCAGGGGCACUGGAGGGUGCUGUGGUGUGACUGUGUCUUCCAGAUUUCCGGUCUUGCAAACUUUAUCCCCAAGUCCUGAGUUAAUGAGGUUGGACAGGGCUGGUCCUGAGUUGCUCUGACCGGCAGGCUUUGCGGCUCUCAUCUCAAUCUCUCAGAACUCUUUGCUGAGACCGCUACAGAAGGGACUACUCACCAGGCUGAAGGAUGAGAGGCCACGUGGAGGAGAACGGAGGUGGUCCAGCCAAGUCAGCACACCCCCCCACCAAACUCCCGGGUGACGCCAUCUUGGACUGUCCACUCCAACUGCUCACCCACAAAUGCUGCCUCGUGAGUGAGCCCAGGCAAGACCAGCCGAGAAACUGUCCAGCCAAUCAGCAGGAUUGUGAGAAAGAACACAUCAGUAUUGUCUUAAGCCGGAAACUUCUCAGAAGAUAAAAGAGCCGCUUGCUAGGACAGGCCCUGCAGAUCAGAGCAGCAGGGUGAAGCUGCUGCCUGCGACACGGGUGUCCCAUAUUGAAGUGCCGGCGGGAGUCCCAGCUGCUCCACUCCCCAUCCAGAUCGCUGUGAUUUCGC